Molecule: long non-coding RNA, 529 nt
Organism: Tachysurus fulvidraco (yellow catfish)
Lineage: Eukaryota; Metazoa; Chordata; Actinopteri; Siluriformes; Bagridae
Exons: 2
Source: RefSeq, a predicted model, not a curated record
CACACACACACACACACACACACACACACACACACACACACACACACACACACACUAUCAUUUCCUUGCAUGUGUGACAAGUGCAAUAUCUUUUAGGUUUGGUUUUAUUUUGAUGGGUGGAUUUCGGGUCCGAAGACACGCUCACUGCUGCUGAGCUGCACGUUGACACUGAGCACACCUGUGCCACGUAAUUAGUGCGGCGUGUUAGUGGCUUUAUAAAAAGCACAUUUGAGUGGGACUCUUUAAUUUCUCUUCCGUGUGCAUCCUGUGUGGGCAGAAAAGGUCUUUUGGCUAUAUUUUCCUGUUGCUUUACCCUGGUGCGGCCAAAGAGCGCUAGCUGCUGUUUUGUUACGGCUAUUUCAUUAGUUGCUGUUCUGCUUACUGCUGUUUUAUUUUGUUUGUUUAUGUAAAUAUCUUUCCUGUAGUGUUAAGGGAUUUUAUGGGACACAUGAUGGGAUGUUACCCCCUUGUGGUUAGGCAGGGGUUGUGGAAAAGCUAACAGAUUAAUAAAGGCUAUGCUUGGAUAACA